RNAcentral lists this ribosomal RNA (459 nucleotides) under uncultured bacterium. RNAcentral describes it as "partial 16S ribosomal RNA". It matches the Rfam family "Bacterial small subunit ribosomal RNA", at positions 338 to 795 of the family's 1533-position model. The record is from RNAcentral.
CCUACGGGUGACUGCAAUGAGGAAUAUUGGUCAAUGGUCGGGAGACUGAACCAGCCAAGCCGCGUGAGGGAGGAAGGUACAGAGUAUCGUAAACCUCUUUUGUCAGGGAACAAAGGCGGGGACGUGUCCCCGGAUGAGUGUACCUGAAGAAAAAGCAUCGGCUAACUCCGUGCCAGCAGCCGCGGUAAUACGGAGGAUGCGAGCGUUAUCCGGAUUUAUUGGGUUUAAAGGGUGCGCAGGCGGUCUGUUAAGUCAGCGGUCAAAGCCCGGGGCUCAACCCCGGCCCGCCGUUGAAACUGGCAGUCUCGAGUUGGAGAGAAGUAUGCGGAAUGCGCGGUGUAGCGGUGAAAUGCGUAGAUAUUAGGAAGAACACCAGUGGCGAAGGCGGCUUUCUGGACUGAAACUGACGCUGAGGCACGAAAGCGUGGGGAGCGAACAGGAUUAGAUACCCCAGUAGUC